RNAcentral lists this ribosomal RNA (389 nucleotides) under Wolbachia endosymbiont of Cimex hemipterus. Its description in RNAcentral is "bacterial SSU rRNA". It matches the Rfam family "Bacterial small subunit ribosomal RNA", at positions 1016 to 1403 of the family's 1533-position model. Lineage: Bacteria; Pseudomonadati; Pseudomonadota; Alphaproteobacteria; Rickettsiales; Anaplasmataceae. The record is from RNAcentral.
UGGUUUGGCCGGAUUUCACACAGGUGUUGCAUGGCUGUCGUCAGCUCGUGUCGUGAGAUGUUGGGUUAAGUCCCGCAACGAGCGUAACCCUCAUCCUUAGUUACCAUCAGAUAAUGCUGGGGACUUUAAGGAAACUGCUAGUGAUAAACUGGAGGAAGGUGGGGAUGAUGUCAAGUCAUCAUGGCCCUUAUGGAGUGGGCUACACACGUGCUACAAUGGUGGCUACAAUGGGCUGCAAAGUCGCGAGGCUGAGCUAAUCUCUUAAAAGCCAUCUCAGUUCGGAUUGUACUCUGCAACUCGAGUGCAUGAAGUUGGAAUCGCUAGUAAUCGUGGAUCAGCAUGCCACGGUGAAUACGUUCUCGGGUCUUGUACACACUGCCCGUCACGCC